Molecule: ribosomal RNA, 254 nt
Filed under: uncultured bacterium
Lineage: Bacteria
Description: partial 16S ribosomal RNA
Rfam family: Bacterial small subunit ribosomal RNA
Source: RNAcentral
GACGUAGGGGGCGAGCGUUGUCCGGAUUUACUGGGCGGAAAGCGCGCGUAGGCGGUCCGUUAAGUGCACAAGGGAAAGCUCCUGGCUCAACCAGGAAAUUGCUUUGCAUACUGGCGGGCUGGAGGGACGCAGAGGUCUGUGGAAUUCCUGGUGUAACGGUGAAAUGUGUUGAUAUCAGGAGGAACACCCAUGGCGAAGGCAGCAGACUGGGCGUUUCCUGACGCUGAGGCGCGAAAGCGUGGGUAGCAAACAGG